UCUGAAUGUGAGUAUCGCCAUCUAAGCCCAGUAUUUGGCCAAUCUCAGAAAGCUCCUGGUCCCUGGAGGGAUGGCGAGAGAAAAACAAACAGCUCCUGGAACAGGGAGAGUGCUGGCCUCUUGCUCUCCGGCUCCCUCUGUUGCCCUCUGGUUUCUCCCCAGGCUCCCGGACUUCGCUGCUCCUGGCUUUUGGCCUGCUCUGCCUGCCCUGGCUUCAAGAGGGCAGUGCCUUCCCAACCAUUCCCUUAUCCAGGCUUUUUGACAAUGCUAUGCUCCGCGCCCAUCGCCUGCACCAGCUGGCCUUUGACACCUAUCAGGAGUUUGUAAGCUCUUGGGGAAUGGGUGCGCAUCAGGGGUGGCAGGAAGGGGUGACAUUCCCCCACUGGGAAAUAAGAGGAGGAGACUAAGGAGCUCAGGGUUUUUCCCAAAGCGAAAAUGCAGGCAGAUGAGCACACGCUGAGUGAGGUUCCCAGAAAAGUAACAAUGGGAGCUGGUCUCCAGCGUAGACCUUGGUGGGCGGUCCUUCUCCUAGGAAGAAGCCUAUAUCCCAAAGGAACAGAAGUAUUCAUUCCUGCAGAACCCCCAGACCUCCCUCUGCUUCUCAGAGUCUAUUCCGACACCCUCCAACAGGGAGGAAACACAACAGAAAUCCAACCUAGAGCUGCUCCGCAUCUCCCUGCUGCUCAUCCAGUCGUGGCUGGAGCCCGUGCAGUUCCUCAGGAGCGUCUUCGCCAACAGCCUGGUGUAUGGCGCCUCAGACAGCAACGUCUAUGACCUCCUAAAGGACCUAGAGGAAGGCAUCCAAACGCUGAUGGAGAGGCUGGAAGAUG
RNAcentral lists this small RNA (830 nucleotides) under Pan troglodytes (chimpanzee). RNAcentral's name for it is "retained intron". Lineage: Eukaryota; Metazoa; Chordata; Mammalia; Primates; Hominidae. The record is from RNAcentral.